Molecule: long non-coding RNA, 222 nt
Filed under: Capsella grandiflora
Lineage: Eukaryota; Viridiplantae; Streptophyta; Magnoliopsida; Brassicales; Brassicaceae
Description: long non-coding RNA (CGRA_LNC000709)
Source: RNAcentral
UUUGAUAUAAACUUUGUGAUAGUGGUUUGCACGUAAUUGAUUAAGAGCAUGAUCCCAGAGGAUAUGUGAGUUCUCGUGUUUUCAAACCUCUUCCCUUGGUUAAGAUUUUUGUUUUGCUUGAGGACAAGCAAGAAUCUAAGUCGGGGGGAGUUGAUAUAUUGUGUUUUUAUCGGUUUUAAGUCUUUAUUUUCUCUUUCAUUUUAUAACUUUUAUUGAGUCAAA